Molecule: ribosomal RNA, 440 nt
Filed under: uncultured bacterium
Lineage: Bacteria
Description: partial 16S ribosomal RNA
Rfam family: Bacterial small subunit ribosomal RNA
Source: RNAcentral
CCUACGGGAGGCAGCAGUGGGGAAUAUUGGACAAUGGGGGAAACCCUGAUCCAGCGACGCCGCGUGAGUGAAGAAGUAUUUCGGUAUGUAAAGCUCUAUCAGCAGGGAAGCAAAUGACGGUACCUGACUAAGAAGCACCGGCUAACUACGUGCCAGCAGCCGCGAUAAUACGUAGGGGGCAAGCGUUAUCCGGAUUUACUGGGCGUAAAGGGAGCGUAGGCGGCAUUCCAAGUCUGAGGUGAAAGACCGGGGCCCAACCCCGGGGCUGCAUUGGAAACUGGCAGGCUGGAGUGCAGGAGAGGCAGGCGGAAUGCCUGGUGUAGCGGUGAAAUGCGUAGAUAUUAGGAGGAACACCGGUGGCGAAGGCGGCCUGCUGGACGGUAACUGACGCUGAGGCUCGAAAGCGUGGGGAGCAAACAGGAUUAGAUACCCGUGUAGUC